Molecule: ribosomal RNA, 450 nt
Filed under: uncultured bacterium
Lineage: Bacteria
Description: bacterial SSU rRNA
Rfam family: Bacterial small subunit ribosomal RNA
Source: RNAcentral
UUCCAGACUCCUACGGGAGGCAGCAGUGGGGAAUAUUGGGCAAUGGAGGAAACUCUUACCCAGCAAUGCCGCGUGAAUGAAGAAGGUCUUCGGAUUGUAAAGUUCUUUAAUUGGGGACGAAAAAAAUGACGGUACCCAAGGAAUAAGCCCCGGCUAACUACGUGCCAGCAGCCGCGGUAAUACGUAGGGGGCAAGCGUUGUUCGGAAUGACUGGGCGUAAAGGGUGCGUAGGCGGUGUAGCAAGUUAGAAGUGAAAUACCUAGAGCUUAACUCAGGUGCUGCUUCUAAAACUGCUAUACUUGAGUGCAGUAGAGGAAAGUGGAAUUCCUAGUGUAGCGGUGGAAUGCGUAGAUAUUAGGAGGAACAUCAGUGGCGAAGGCGGCCACCUGGACCGGUAUUGACGCUGAGGCGCGAAAGCGUGGGGAGCAAACAGGAUUAGAUACCCUAGUA